CUCAGGGUUGCCCAGUGGUUCGGACGGAUGUCAGGCUUUGAUCCUCAAGAUCUGGGGUUCGAUUCCCCACCGGGUGA
This is a non-coding RNA of Rhododendron simsii, 77 nucleotides long. Lineage: Eukaryota; Viridiplantae; Streptophyta; Magnoliopsida; Ericales; Ericaceae. The record is from the annotation of a GenBank genome assembly.